AUGGACCUUGGGCGCCUUAACUAUGGGAUCAUUACUCUCCUUCCCCAAGUCCGGGGGGCCUCGGACAUUCGCCAGUUCCGACCGAUCAUGGUGAUCAACGUGAUCUUCAGGAUCCUGGCUAAAGGGUACGCCAAUAGGGUUACCCUUGUAGCGGACUUUUUCACCCACCCCAACCAAUCCGCCUUCAUCCAAGGCCGGUUUAUUUUGGAUGGGGUGCUGGUCUUCCACGAUGUCCUUCAUGAAGUCCGAACCAAGCACCACAAUGCGGUCUUCCUGAAGCUCGACUUCCAUAAAGCCUAUGAAACUGUCCAUUGGCCCUUCCUUCAGGAAGUUUUGCUCUGCAAGGGCUUCGACGACCGGUGGGUGACCCGAGUUAUGCAACUCGUCACUUGCGGUCGGACGGCGGUUAACAUUAAUGGUGAGAUCGGGUCUUACUUCCCCACCCUAUGA
This 450-nucleotide ribosomal RNA is filed under the name Triticum aestivum (bread wheat). RNAcentral's name for it is "partial small subunit ribosomal RNA". The record is from RNAcentral. Lineage: Eukaryota; Viridiplantae; Streptophyta; Magnoliopsida; Poales; Poaceae.